UGGAAGAAACCUAUUGGAGAU
This 21-nucleotide non-coding RNA is filed under the name Caenorhabditis elegans. The record is from RNAcentral. Lineage: Eukaryota; Metazoa; Nematoda; Chromadorea; Rhabditida; Rhabditidae.